This 468-nucleotide ribosomal RNA is filed under the name uncultured bacterium. RNAcentral describes it as "partial 16S ribosomal RNA". It matches the Rfam family "Bacterial small subunit ribosomal RNA", at positions 28 to 507 of the family's 1533-position model. The record is from RNAcentral.
GACGAACGCUGGCGGCGUGCUUAACACAUGCAAGUCGAACGGAAAGGCCCUGCUUUUGUGGGGUGCUCGAGUGGCGAACGGGUGAGUAACACGUGAGUAACCUGCCCUUGACUUUGGGAUAACUUCAGGAAACUGGGGCUAAUACCGGAUAGGAGCUCCUGCUGCAUGGUGGGGGUUGGAAAGUUUCGGCGGUUGGGGAUGGACUCGCGGCUUAUCAGCUUGUUGGUGGGGUAGUGGCUUACCAAGGCUUUGACGGGUAGCCGGCCUGAGAGGGUGACCGGCCACAUUGGGACUGAGAUACGGCCCAGACUCCUACGGGAGGCAGCAGUGGGGAAUAUUGCACAAUGGGCGGAAGCCUGAUGCAGCAAAGCCGCGUGCGGGAUGACGUCCUUCGGGUUGUAAACCGCUUUCGCCUGUGAUGAAGCGUGAGUGACGGUAAUGGGUAAAGAAGCACCGGCUAACUACGUG